AAAGAACUUUGUGGAGAUGGGCAAACUGGGUGUCAGCUAAAAUAACCAAAUAUAGAACAUCAAAAUGCACGCGAUCCAAAUAAUACUGUAAUGCUCUCUCAAGGGCUCUCACAUCCAACAGUGCCAUGUAAAUCCUAUUUUGUCAAAUUUAAAGUGGAUUUUUGACUAGAAGGAUUGCAGCAAAUACUUCUUUAAUUUUUUUUUUUUUUUUUUUUUUUUUAAGAGCAAACAUUAACAAUAAACCUCAAUAACUCUGGGAAAAGAUGUUGCUGCUUUCAAGCUGUUUGAUUUCUGCAUAUGCACAUUAACUGAUGCAGGGGGACUUAAGGUGAAACUCCUGUGGCAGUUCUGGGAGUUACGUGUGACCGGCUGCUUUGUGGUGGGACUACAACCAGGAGGGUUUAAGUUCUUCAAAUAGUGACAUUUUCAUGGGAAGAAAAAUACCUGAACAGAAGACCACCUCAAAGGGAAAUUGUUCAGACUAGUUCCACUUCACAUUGCAAGCCUGAAGAAAAUCUUUUUCCAUAAAGACAGCAUAAGUCGUGCUCCCUACUUAUGGAUGAGAUCCAGAAGGAAUGCAGGCAAGAAGGCUGAUGCAAGCCCUGAAGUGACCUGACAGUUUGCUGGCAAGUUUGUGAGAGUGACAGAAGCACCACUGCUCAUCACAUGAAUUCCUCCAGACACCCGGGCUCCAGCCUCCCUCCUAAGGCUUCAAACCUAAAGGAAGAAAGAGCAUCAUUUGGUACAACACAGCUCAAGAAGGUGGGUGUCUUCAUUUUUUAGUUCCUGUUUAUGUGAACAACACCGUAAGGAGACAAUAAAAAAGGAGCACUAAGGUAUGUGAGAAGAGGAGGAUAACAAUUAAAAACCAAUUUUGGGAUAAGCCUACACUUAUCUUUUAGUUGCAACUGUUCAUUGAAUAUAUUAGAAAGAUACAGGGUGAAGAGUGUCUAUUUUGUCAGGAAGUUUUACUCAGCCUCCUUCCUAAUGAAUUCAUGUGGGCUUUCUAUUGUUAUUCUGAGUCUCAGUUCAGAUGGAGAGACAAGGUUCAUU
This 1053-nucleotide long non-coding RNA is filed under the name Corvus moneduloides (New Caledonian crow). Its description in RNAcentral is "lncRNA (ENSCMUG00000018249.1)". Lineage: Eukaryota; Metazoa; Chordata; Aves; Passeriformes; Corvidae. The record is from RNAcentral.